CAUCUACCAUUCCUCCGGGCCUUGAAGUCUGCCCUCAAAAGCUCCAGACAAGAUGCAUGAGAAAAUAGGCCUGAAAAAGAGAAACCUACGACACCCGAAAACCGGCCUACAUCCCCGUAAUAAAAUCCCCUUUAUGCUUAAGUACACAACUCCCCCAUUACUAUUAGGAAAAUUUAAGAGGUAUUACCAUAGUGAGUUACAGGAGGAAAAAAAACCCCACGACAGUGCCGACCUCACGGAUUUUUACCACACCACUGGCUCUCCCUGCGGGGCUCGUACACUGGGCUGCUGCUCUANNAUCCUCUAUCUAUCCUCCACUCCGCCUGCUCGCCGCCUCCGCGUGGUUGCCAAGCCAAGCCGCACGCUAGCUUCACCACACCGCACUGGCUCCCGGGCUUCUCUUUCCUAUCUUCACGAACUGCUGCUCCUGUCUUCCUAG
RNAcentral lists this long non-coding RNA (439 nucleotides) under Capra hircus (goat). Its description in RNAcentral is "lncRNA (ENSCHIG00010025650.1)". Lineage: Eukaryota; Metazoa; Chordata; Mammalia; Artiodactyla; Bovidae. The record is from RNAcentral.